ACGCCCACACAGUGCCCCCACGCCCACACAGUGCCCCCACGCCUCCACGCCCAUCCAGUGCCCCCACGCCUCCACGCCCAUCCAGUGCCCCCACGCCUCCACGCCCAUCCAGUGCGUAUUACAAGCUUACCCAUGUCAAGUUUACCUGUUUCAAGCUUUUUGUGGCUGAGGUGACAGCUUGGUAUUACUCCAGAAUCACACCCAAGCUUACCCAUGUCAAGUUUACCUGUUUCAAGCUUUUUGUGGCUGAGGUGACAGCUUGGUAACAUUCCAGAAUCACACCCAAGCUUACCCAUGUCAAGUUAACCUGUUUCAAGCUUUUUGUGGCUGAGGUGACAGCUUGGUAUUACUCCAGAAUCACACCCAAGCUUACCCAUGUCAAGUUUACCUGUUUCAAGCUUUUUGUGGCUGAGGUGACAGCUUGGUAACAUUCCAGAAUCACACCCAAGCUUACCCAUGUCAAGUUUACCUGUUUCAAGCUUUUUGUGGCUGAGGUGACAGCUUGGUAACAUUCCAGAAUCACACCCAAGCUUACCCAUGUCAAGUUUACCUGUUUCAAGCUUUUUGUGGCUGAGGUGACAGCUUGGUAAUAUUCCAGAAUCACACCCAAGCUUACCCAUGUCAAGUUUACCUGUUUCAAGCUUUUUGUGGCUGAGGUGACAGCUUGGUAAUAUUCCAGAAUCACACCCAAGCUUACCCAUGUCAAGUUUACCUGUUUCAAGCUUUUUGUGGCUGAGGUGACAGCUUGGUAAUAUUCCAGAAUCACACCCAAGCUUACCCAUGUCAAGUUU
This is a long non-coding RNA of Eriocheir sinensis (Chinese mitten crab), 791 nucleotides long. RefSeq lists it as uncharacterized. The record is from RefSeq and is a predicted model, not a curated record. The transcript is spliced from 4 exons. Lineage: Eukaryota; Metazoa; Arthropoda; Malacostraca; Decapoda; Varunidae.